AACUUUUGUGGUCGGUUCCAUGGUUCAUCUGACGAUCUGGAGAAUCCACUUAGAAACAGAGGGAAGAUGUGACAGAGUGACAGAUUAACUGAAAGACAGAGAGAAGACAGAGAGCAACAAAAUGGAGGACGAGAAGAGCUUUGACCCCGGAGACAGGAUCCUCAAGUUUGUCAACAGACAGGAUGAUAUUAGGGUCUUAUCAGGAAGUGCGUAGGCUGGCUGCGCUGACUGCCAAGGAAAAACAGUAUUUCGAGGAGAUCAUUGCAACCUUGGCUUCCACCAAGUACUGUGAAACUAAAUCUUGCCCAGGCUGCAAGUCACUGUUACAGAGACAGAACCCAUCCAGUUUAAGAGUCCAUUGCACAGUAUGCUCUGAAGACAAAGGCCAGACCUACCAGUUCUGCUGGCAAUGUCAGAGGCAGUGGAAAAGUCCAGGCUGGGCUCUGACCGCUGUGGCAACACUGGCUGCUCCAAACAGGAGCUGCAGCUGCUGCCAAAAUGUCCAACCGUCACUGACUGCCAGUCUAUAAGUGCCUGUCCCACCUGUGGCAUACUAUUGGAGCAUGACAAGAUCGGUUGUAAGAAUUUAGCAAAACACUUGGGUGAACUGUUGGAAUCAUGGAAAUAUAAUGAUUAUUCAAAUUCUAUAGUUAGAAUAUAAUA
Molecule: long non-coding RNA, 663 nt
Organism: Salvelinus sp. IW2-2015
Lineage: Eukaryota; Metazoa; Chordata; Actinopteri; Salmoniformes; Salmonidae
Source: RefSeq, a predicted model, not a curated record